RNAcentral lists this ribosomal RNA (420 nucleotides) under uncultured bacterium. Its description in RNAcentral is "bacterial SSU rRNA". It matches the Rfam family "Bacterial small subunit ribosomal RNA", at positions 33 to 497 of the family's 1533-position model. The record is from RNAcentral.
UACGCUGGCGGCACGCCUAAUACAUGCAAGUCGAACGAAGUAGCAAUACUUAGUGGCAGACGGGUGAGUAAUAUGUAGGUAUCUUCCCAUUGGUGAGGAAUAACACGAGGAAACUUGUGCUAAUACCUCAUAAGUCUUUACGGAGAAAGCUUUAUGCGCCGAUGGAUGAGCCUGCACUUGAUUAGUUUGUUGGUAGGGUAAUGGCCUACCAAGACAAUGAUCAAUAGCUGAUUUGAGAGGAUGAUCAGCCACAUUGGGACUGAGACACGGCCCAAACUCCUACGGGAGGCAGCAGUAGGGAAUCUUGCACAAUGGGGGAAACCCUGAUGCAGCGAUGCCGCGUGAGUGAAGAAGGCCUUUGGGUUGUAAAGCUCUUUCGUCGGGGAAGAAAAUGACUGUACCCGAAUAAGAAGGUCCGGC